GCGGACGUGGUGGAAUUGGUAGACACACUGGAUUUAGGUUCCAGCGCCGCAAGGCGUAAGAGUUCGAGUCUCUUCGUCCGCACCA
Molecule: transfer RNA, 85 nt
Filed under: Pseudomonas fulva
Lineage: Bacteria; Pseudomonadati; Pseudomonadota; Gammaproteobacteria; Pseudomonadales; Pseudomonadaceae
Also listed under: 5 other names
Rfam family: tRNA
About the family: Transfer RNA (tRNA) molecules are approximately 80 nucleotides in length. Their secondary structure includes four short double-helical elements and three loops (D, anti-codon, and T loops).
Source: RNAcentral